RNAcentral lists this ribosomal RNA (744 nucleotides) under Triticum aestivum (bread wheat). Its description in RNAcentral is "partial small subunit ribosomal RNA". Lineage: Eukaryota; Viridiplantae; Streptophyta; Magnoliopsida; Poales; Poaceae. The record is from RNAcentral.
AUGUCUCCCAGCUGCUGGUUCUUGGCCUUUCUCCUGGUGUGGUGUCUGCCAUUGAUGCUCGUGAUGGCCGAGGAGCAGCAGGGUGGAGACUGCUCGGCCAUGAAGUGCGGCAACGUGAACAUCUCCGAUCCGUUCUGGCUCACGGACAAAGUUACCGGGAAAUCAUGUGGUCGUCCUCCCUACCAGGACUUCGAUGUCGCUUGUAUUAACCACACUUCUCCAACUCUACGGAGCUCUAUACCCUUCAACAUGGGCUAUAAAAUCCUCAACAUCUCCUAUGAGCAACGCAGCUUCUACGCGGUUGAUCUGGGCAAGCUCAACGUGCUGCAGGCCCGCAACAGCUGCCAUGAACCGUUCUACAACACCUCAACCAAGCUCAACCGUCCGUUCAAGAUCAGCCCCGUCAACCUGAACCUCAUCCUGUACAACUGCACGGAGAAGGACGAAGCAGCGGCCGCAGCACGUCGGAACAGAGAGCUGGCGCCGACGAACGUGAGCUGCGGGAACCUAUGGGCGGUGUUUGCCCGCGCGGGAGUACCCCACGACGGCACCGGGAACUACAACAAUUACACUCUGGAUGGCUGCCGCGCCGUCGUGGUGCCGGUGCCGGCCUCGUCGGCGGGGGCGAACGCGAGCGACUACAAGCAGCUCUUCAACGACGGCUUCCUCCUGACAUGGGAUGUCCCGCUCCCGCAUCAUCCCUCAAUCUUUCCACGUAAGUUUACUCGUCAAAUCAUCUUUUAA